This 439-nucleotide ribosomal RNA is filed under the name uncultured bacterium. Its description in RNAcentral is "bacterial SSU rRNA". It matches the Rfam family "Bacterial small subunit ribosomal RNA", at positions 954 to 1392 of the family's 1533-position model. The record is from RNAcentral.
GCUAAACGCGAAGAACCUUACCAGCCCUUGACAUGGCAGGACGGUUUCCAGAGAUGGAUUCCUUCACUUCGGUGACCUGCACACAGGUGCUGCAUGGCUGUCGUCAGCUCGUGUCGUGAGAUGUUGGGUUAAGUCCCGCAACGAGCGCAACCCUCGCCUUUAGUUGCCAUCAUUUAGUUGGGCACUCUAGAGGGACUGCCGGUGAUAAGCCGGAGGAAGGUGGGGAUGACGUCAAGUCUUCAUGGCCCUUACGGGCUGGGCUACACACGUGCUACAAUGGCGGUGACAGAGGGCAGCUAGUCCGCGAGGACAUGCUAAUCCCUAAAAGCCGUCUCAGUUCGGAUUGCACUCUGCAACUCGAGUGCAUGAAGUUGGAAUCGCUAGUAAUCGCAGAUCAGCAUUGCUGCGGUGAAUACGUUCCCGGGUCUUGUACACACCG